This is a long non-coding RNA of Mercurialis annua (annual mercury), 397 nucleotides long. RefSeq lists it as uncharacterized. The transcript has 4 exons. The record is from RefSeq and is a predicted model, not a curated record. Lineage: Eukaryota; Viridiplantae; Streptophyta; Magnoliopsida; Malpighiales; Euphorbiaceae.
GAAAACCCUAAUUGUUGAAGUGUCUCUCUUUUCUCCUCCCUCGAGCAGCUUUCUCUCUUCUUUUCUCUCCAUUCCGUCCUCUCUCAACCAUGAAAUCCUAACCGUUUUCUCAUGUUUUCUUUGUAGUUUUUCAGUUUCGUCUUCCUCUUCAAUGGAUUCUCGGUAUCGUUCAUAAACUAACAGAUUAAUGUGUUGGAUAUAUGGAAUCAAAAAUAAAUUUCUAUUUAAUUUUUUGUAUAAAUUCUUGGAGUACCAUCACAGAUUGAACUCAGUCAAGGAGAUUUAUGGAAACAACAAGAUUUGUAUUAAUUGAUUAUUUUAGAUUUAGAUGUUGACUAAUGUAAAACAUUAUAUUGUAAAAUCAUAUAAUGCAAUUACACCAUAUUUGUAUUCCUUA